GAACUCCGCACACCGAUAGUCCUA
This 24-nucleotide non-coding RNA is filed under the name Arabidopsis thaliana (thale cress). Lineage: Eukaryota; Viridiplantae; Streptophyta; Magnoliopsida; Brassicales; Brassicaceae. The record is from RNAcentral.